GACGGAGGGAGCUAGCGUUGUUCGGAAUUACUGGGCGUAAAGCGCGCGUAGGCGGUUUCUCAAGUCAGAGGUGAAAGCCCGGGGCUCAACCCCGGAACUGCCUUUGAAACUAGGAGACUGGAAUCUUGGAGAGGUCAGUGGAAUUCCGAGUGUAGAGGUGAAAUUCGUAGAUAUUCGGAAGAACACCAGUGGCGAAGGCGACUGACUGGACAAGUAUUGACGCUGAGGUGCGAAAGCGUGGGGAGCAAACAGG
Molecule: ribosomal RNA, 253 nt
Filed under: uncultured bacterium
Lineage: Bacteria
Description: partial 16S ribosomal RNA
Rfam family: Bacterial small subunit ribosomal RNA
Source: RNAcentral